AUUCUUUCAGUUCAUAAAGUGUGUUCAUGCUGUGUGCAUGAUGUGUGCUGCCCACUAAACCUUGUUACGACAUGGGCACAUUGACCCACCUGACA
Rattus norvegicus (Norway rat) is the source of this 95-nucleotide small nucleolar RNA. Ensembl annotates it as small nucleolar RNA U13. NCBI's taxonomy places the organism in Eukaryota, Metazoa, Chordata, Mammalia, Rodentia, Muridae. The record is from Ensembl.